RNAcentral lists this long non-coding RNA (387 nucleotides) under Pan troglodytes (chimpanzee). RNAcentral's name for it is "lincRNA". Lineage: Eukaryota; Metazoa; Chordata; Mammalia; Primates; Hominidae. The record is from RNAcentral.
GCUCCACUCAAAAAAAAGAAAGUCCUAAUGCAAGUAAUCGAAAGUGAAGAUAUUGCAAAACAAAUAAUGACAGCUGAAUUGAUGAUAUGAUGACAGGCUCAUCCCUCCAUUGUAAACUAUGCUGCGUAAGAUAUGCCUGCUUCCUGUUUGCCUUAUGCCAUGAUUGUAAGUUUCCUGAGGCCUCCCCAGCCAUGCUUCCUAUACAGCCUGUGGAACCAUGGGUCGAUUAAACCUCUUUUCAUUACAAAUUACCCAGUCUCAAGUAGUUCUUUAUAGCAAUGCAAAAACGGACAAAUACAUGGAUUGUUUUUGGAUUCUGAAGAUUCAGUGCUAUGGAUUUCACAUGAGUUUGGCUAUUUUGAUUAAAAUGUGGCUGUUUGUCUUUCC